CCUACGGGAGGCAGCAGUGAGGAAUAUUGGUCAAUGGGCGUAAGCCUGAACCAGCCAAGUCGCGUGAGGGAUGAAGGUUCUAUGGAUCGUAAACCUCUUUUAUAAGGGAAUAAAGUGCGGGACGUGUCCCGUUUUGUAUGUACCUUAUGAAUAAGGAUCGGCUAACUCCGUGCCAGCAGCCGCGGUAAUACGGAGGAUCCGAGCGUUAUCCGGAUUUAUUGGGUUUAAAGGGUGCGUAGGCGGCCUUUUAAGUCAGCGGUGAAAGUCUGUGGCUCAACCAUAGAAUUGCAGUUGAAACUGGGAGGCUUGAGUAUGUUUGAGGCAGGCGGAAUUCGGGGUGUAGCGGUGAAAUGCUUAGAUAUCACGCAGAACCCCGAUUGCGAAGGCAGCCUGCUAAGCCAUAACUGACGCUGAUGCACGAAAGCGUGGGGAUCAAACAGGAUUAGAUACCCUUGUAGUC
Molecule: ribosomal RNA, 460 nt
Filed under: uncultured bacterium
Lineage: Bacteria
Description: partial 16S ribosomal RNA
Rfam family: Bacterial small subunit ribosomal RNA
Source: RNAcentral